CCGCGGUAACACCGGCGGCCCGAGUGGUGAUCGUGAUUAUUGGGUCUAAAGGGUCCGUAGCCGGUUUGGUCAGUCCUCCGGGAAAUCUGAUAGCUCAACUAUUAGGCUUUCGGGGGAUACUGCCAGACUUGGAACCGGGAGAGGUAAGAGGUACUACAGGGGUAGGAGUGAAAUCUUGUAAUCCCUGUGGGACCACCUGUGGCGAAGGCGUCUUACCAGAACGGGUUCGACGGUGAGGGACGAAAGCUGGGGGCACGAACCGGAUUAGAUACCCGGGUAGUCCCAGCCGUAAACGAUGCUCGCUAGGUGUCAGGCAUGGCGCGACCGUGUCUGGUGCCGCAGGGAAGCCGUGAAGCGAGCCACCUGGGAAGUACGGCCGCAAGGCUGAAACUUAAAGGAAUUGGCGGGGGAGCACAACAACGGGUGGAGCCCUGCGGUUUAAUUGGACUCAACGCCGGACAACUCACCGGGGGCGACAGCAAUAUGUAGGCCAAGCUGAAGACUUUGCCUGAAUCGCUGAGAAGAGGUGCAUGG
RNAcentral lists this ribosomal RNA (534 nucleotides) under uncultured archaeon. Its description in RNAcentral is "bacterial SSU rRNA". It matches the Rfam family "Archaeal small subunit ribosomal RNA", at positions 465 to 997 of the family's 1478-position model. The record is from RNAcentral.